RNAcentral lists this long non-coding RNA (1282 nucleotides) under Coffea arabica (coffee). RNAcentral's name for it is "long non-coding RNA (CARA_LNC000821)". The record is from RNAcentral. Lineage: Eukaryota; Viridiplantae; Streptophyta; Magnoliopsida; Gentianales; Rubiaceae.
GGAUUCGGUGAAAGGUGGAGUUAUAUCAUGUAAUUUAUUUUUAUUUAAAUUCUUGUUCAUGGAAUAACGGGUGCUGAACAAGAAGGAAAUUUUUGGUUUAGGGAUUUUAUUGCUACUAUGAGAAUCACAUCCAACGUUACAUUCCAACAGACGAUGAGACAAAAAAAAAAAAGGCUACUAGUAAAGAAAAAGGAAGUAUCAGUAGAAGUGGUAGUAUCAGAAUUCUCAGAAAGGACGAGCAGGUCCACCUGGUCUAGAAGGCCCACCAAAACAAUCUUGGAAUAACCAGCAGCAACAGAGACAGGACAAGCUGCAAACCCACCCAAAUAAAAAAAAGAGAGUAAACUCCCGGCUCAGUUUCAUUUUCACGCCCGGUUCAAAAUUCCAAAUCCAAAAAGCCAAGCAUAGCAAAAGAAAAACUCAAAAGAAGCCAGCGACAUCAGCCACACAAAUGCCACCACUAAUCUAGAGAGACCACCUCUCCUCUUUUUUUUUUUUUUAACGAUAAAAAGCAUAAAAAUCCAAUACCCUUAACUUUUUGAUUUUCAGGACGAGGUAGCACAUAGCCACAAGGGGAAAAAAAAAAGGCGUUCUUUUUGUGAUUUUUUUUUAAAGAAAAAAGAAAAAAAAAAAGUAACUGAAGUGGCGGUGUUUUUAACUUUUAAUUUUAAACCCGUUAGCAAUAAAAACCACGGAACCAACGACUACUACUACUGCUACACUAAACCAGCUCAAAAAAUAUAUACAGCAGCUUACGAUCGAUAGCUUACCAAGCACUUAUUGCGCUGCAAAUACCAUCGGCAAACCCACCAAAGAAACCAAGUCCCCCGGGUCCUCCAGGUCCCCAACCCGGCCCACCAGGGCCAGGUCCCCAACCCGGUCCACCAGGUCCUCCAGGUCCCCAACCCGGCCCACCAGGUCCUGGUCCCCAACCCGGUCCUCCAGGUCCGGGUCCUCCUCCUCCGCCUCCUGGCCCAGGUCCUCCAGGUCCCAUUGUGGAGUGAUAUUAAUCUCUGUGCGUCUUCUGGAGUCGGAGAUGCCGUAUGGGACUGAACCCAACAAAGAGACAGAUAGUGUGAGUGUGUGUGUGUGUGUUUUGUCGAAAGGGAAAGGGUUGUGCCGUCCUAAGUUUGGAGUUCAAAAGCAUUGAAAAAUGAAAAGUUUACGAGACAGCAUUCAAAAAUAUUUGGCAGCAUAUAAUACGAAGACCAUCCCAAAGGCAAAGGCAGCAGAUCCUCUAUAUUAUAUAGUAUAUACUGCUAGGCGCUAGCUAUAGCUUAUU